ACCUGCCCAUAAGACUGGGAUAACUCCGGGAAACCGGGGCUAAUACCGGAUAACAUUUUGAACUGCAUGGUUCGAAAUUGAAAGGCGGCUUCGGCUGACACUUAUGGAUGGACCCGCGUCGCAUUAGCUAGUUGGUGAGGUAACGGCUCACCAAGGCAACGAUGCAUAGCCGACCUGAGAGGGUGAUCGGCCACACUGGAACUGAGACACGGUCCAG
Molecule: ribosomal RNA, 217 nt
Filed under: uncultured Bacillus sp.
Lineage: Bacteria; Bacillati; Bacillota; Bacilli; Caryophanales; Bacillaceae
Description: partial 16S ribosomal RNA
Rfam family: Bacterial small subunit ribosomal RNA
Source: RNAcentral